CCGAGUUUUCAACUCCCAAACCCCUGUGAACGUUACCUCAAUCGUUGCCUCGGCGGGAUCGCCCCGGCGCCCCCCUCGCGGGGGUCCGGACCCAGGCGCCCGCCGGAGGAACCCCAAACUCUUGUCUGUUUUUAGUCUCUUCUGAGUAAAGCAAAACAAAUAAAUCA
Molecule: unclassified non-coding RNA, 167 nt
Filed under: uncultured Sordariomycetes
Lineage: Eukaryota; Fungi; Ascomycota; Sordariomycetes
Description: sequence contains ITS1
Source: RNAcentral